This 493-nucleotide ribosomal RNA is filed under the name Fusarium oxysporum. RNAcentral describes it as "eukaryotic LSU rRNA". The stretch from base 181 to 334 matches the Rfam family "5.8S ribosomal RNA". The record is from RNAcentral. Lineage: Eukaryota; Fungi; Ascomycota; Sordariomycetes; Hypocreales; Nectriaceae.
CUUCCGUAGGUGAACCUGCGGAGGGAUCAUUACCGAGUUUACAACUCCCAAACCCCUGUGAACAUACCACUUGUUGCCUCGGCGGAUCAGCCCGCUCCCGGUAAAACGGGACGGCCCGCCAGAGGACCCCUAAACUCUGUUUCUAUAUGUAACUUCUGAGUAAAACCAUAAAUAAAUCAAAACUUUCAACAACGGAUCUCUUGGUUCUGGCAUCGAUGAAGAACGCAGCAAAAUGCGAUAAGUAAUGUGAAUUGCAGAAUUCAGUGAAUCAUCGAAUCUUUGAACGCACAUUGCGCCCGCCAGUAUUCUGGCGGGCAUGCCUGUUCGAGCGUCAUUUCAACCCUCAAGCACAGCUUGGUGUUGGGACUCGCGUUAAUUCGCGUUCCCCAAAUUGAUUGGCGGUCACGUCGAGCUUCCAUAGCGUAGUAGUAAAACCCUCGUUACUGGUAAUCGUCGCGGCCACGCCGUUAAACCCCAACUUCUGAAUGUGACC